RNAcentral lists this transfer RNA (64 nucleotides) under Krisna expansiva. Its description in RNAcentral is "tRNA-Leu". The record is from RNAcentral. Lineage: Eukaryota; Metazoa; Arthropoda; Insecta; Hemiptera; Cicadellidae.
UUCAAUGUGGCAGAGUUAUGCAAUGAACUUAAACCUCAUUUAUGAAUUUAUUAUUCUUUUGAAA